CUCAGUUCGGAUCGGAGUCUGCAACCCGACUCCGUGAAGCUGGAUUCGCUAGUAAUCGCGCAUCAGCCAUGGCGCGGUGAAUACGUUCCCGGGCCUUGUACACACCGCCCGUCAAGCCAUGGAAGCCGGGAGUGCCUGAAGUAUGCAACCGCAAGGAGCGUCCUAAGGUAAAACCGGUGACUGGGGCUAAGUCGUAACAAGGUAAC
RNAcentral lists this ribosomal RNA (206 nucleotides) under uncultured bacterium. RNAcentral's name for it is "partial 16S ribosomal RNA". It matches the Rfam family "Bacterial small subunit ribosomal RNA", at positions 1287 to 1500 of the family's 1533-position model. The record is from RNAcentral.